This is a small nucleolar RNA of Catagonus wagneri (Chacoan peccary), 69 nucleotides long. The record is from Ensembl. NCBI's taxonomy places the organism in Eukaryota, Metazoa, Chordata, Mammalia, Artiodactyla, Tayassuidae.
UGGGACGUGAUGACACCCAUAACCCCUGACAUGGAGCUGAUUUCUCAGUAUUCGUACUGGCUGAUCCCG